RNAcentral lists this long non-coding RNA (1583 nucleotides) under Macaca fascicularis (crab-eating macaque). RNAcentral describes it as "lncRNA (ENSMFAG00000053080.1)". The record is from RNAcentral. Lineage: Eukaryota; Metazoa; Chordata; Mammalia; Primates; Cercopithecidae.
AUGAGGAUUCAAAUUAGAAUGUUGGCUAUUUCCUAUAGUUUGCUAAAAAUAACCCGGGUGCCUGCUUCCUUCCCUUGUGCUUCAUUUUCAGUGCCUGCUCAUCCUGAAGAUUCAGAAGAGAUGGAAAUGUUCCUUGGUGCUGUUUGUUCAGAUAAAUGGUGAGAGAAAGAGAGAGAAUGGGAGCAGCUUCCUUGCCCUGAGAUGGACAUCGCAAGUUGAGAGCUGCUCACGCAGCCCUGGACAGCUCACCUCUGAAAUGUUACAUAUGAAGGAAAUAAAUUUCCAUCUUGUUCAAGCCACUGCAUUUUGAUGUCUUUUUUAUUACAUCAGCAUAAUCUGUUGCCUGUUUAAAAUAAUGCAUACCUAAUCCUGGUUCCUUUGGAACCUUGCUGUCACCAAAGUGACAGAGUCCUCUGUGGGGCCAUGUUGUGGCAGGCCAGGUCUCACAAAAGCUGAACAGGCAGGCCUCCAUGACAACCAUUUCAGCACUGACUGAGUGGUUAGGUUAAAUAAUAAAGGCUGAAAGAGCCAGUGCCCUUAGACAAAGGCUGGGAGGUAACAAAAGCCCACCAAGAGUCUUGCCUAGGCCUUUCCUGGGCCUUGAAACUUGACAAGAUAAUGAAGGAAUUCUUAAUGGGACCCAUUUACAAGCUUUAUUGGGGGUCUGAAGAAACUCCCCAGACCUCCACAAACAACUUUUAUUGAGGGUCUAAAGAAACUUCCCCAAACCUCCAUAAUUUAGCAGGGGACAAGAUAAGGGUAAUCAUCCCUGCACCUGGAGCCAUCUAGGUGAAGUAAAUUUACUGAGGCUCCAGAGAAAGGUCUUCAGGACUCAGACCUUACUUACAGACUAGAAGUUAAUCACUUAUGUCUUUAAAUGAAUGCACACUUACACGCAGACUUAUAGCUUAGAAGCUAUAUAAGUACUGGAAAACUUUGUAAUUUUGAGUUGAUCUGGUGAUAUUUUCCCAGCCUUCUUCCUGUACCCUGUUAUAGAAAUCAACUGUCUUCUUUCCCAGUUUGCCUGCAUCUCCUUACUGGGCCAUGAGAAUAAAUAAGCAGCCUGAACCUCAGUUUGGUCCAGGAACAAUGUCACUGCUUUGGCUGCUGAUGCUAGAGUCUUCUGUCACUGCCUGCAGAAAACCCAGCAUUUGGAAGGUGUGUUCUCCCGUGUAACUCAUGAAGUUCUUGUUUCCAGUCACCAACCACAGUCAGGCGAGUUCAGGCUAUCUGAACAAGUUGGGGAGGAAAUAAGCCCCCAGUGGAAGUCUCCGCAAGUAACUAGAUGUUUACCCAAUAUUUAUUCUCUUCUUUAUCCUUGCUAAUGGAAACCUGAUUUUGUAAUGGUGUAGCAUUUGCUAUUGAUCCCACCCCCACAGUGUAUCUACUGCCCAGGGCAAAAAUACUGUAUUCCCAGCCUCCCUUCAUUUGAGGGUGACCAUGCAACACAGUUUGGAAGAAGUCUCACAGUGAGUUCAAGAAAGAUUUGGAGACUGGGACAGAAGGAUCAUUUGAGGUCAAGAGUUUGAAACAAGCCUGGGCAACAUAGCAAUACCUAGCCUCUACAAAAAAUAAAAUAAAUU